CCCUUAGAUGUCCUGGGCCGCACGCGCGCUACACUGAGUGUCUGAGAUACGAGUCUGCCUGGUCCGGCAAGGUCUAGGUAAUCGCUAAAAGACACAUCAUGCUUGAGAUAGAUUAUUGAAAUUAUUAAUCUUGAACGAGGAAUUCCUAGUAAACGCAGAUCAUCAAUCUGCAUUGAUUACGUCCCUGCCCUUUGUACACACCGCCCGUCGCACCUACCGAUUGGAUGGUCCGGUGAAGCCUCGGGAUUGUGGUUCUUGCCGCUUUAUUGUGGCGUGACCGCGAGAACUUGUCUAAACCUUAUCAUCUAGAGGAAGGUGAAGUCGUAACA
This 329-nucleotide ribosomal RNA is filed under the name uncultured eukaryote. RNAcentral's name for it is "partial 18S ribosomal RNA". It matches the Rfam family "Eukaryotic small subunit ribosomal RNA", at positions 1470 to 1796 of the family's 1831-position model. The record is from RNAcentral.